Molecule: ribosomal RNA, 730 nt
Filed under: Acinetobacter johnsonii
Lineage: Bacteria; Pseudomonadati; Pseudomonadota; Gammaproteobacteria; Moraxellales; Moraxellaceae
Description: bacterial SSU rRNA
Rfam family: Bacterial small subunit ribosomal RNA
Source: RNAcentral
UAGCGGCGGACGGGUGAGUAAUGCUUAGGAAUCUGCCUAUUAGUGGGGGACAACAUUCCGAAAGGAAUGCUAAUACCGCAUACGCCCUACGGGGGAAAGCAGGGGAUCUUCGGACCUUGCGCUAAUAGAUGAGCCUAAGUCAGAUUAGCUAGUUGGUGGGGUAAAGGCCUACCAAGGCGACGAUCUGUAGCGGGUCUGAGAGGAUGAUCCGCCACACUGGGACUGAGACACGGCCCAGACUCCUACGGGAGGCAGCAGUGGGGAAUAUUGGACAAUGGGCGCAAGCCUGAUCCAGCCAUGCCGCGUGUGUGAAGAAGGCCUUUUGGUUGUAAAGCACUUUAAGCGAGGAGGAGGCUACUNGGAUUAAUACUCUAGGAUAGUGGACGUUACUCGCAGAAUAAGCACCGGCUAACUCUGUGCCAGCAGCCGCGGUAAUACAGAGGGUGCGAGCGUUAAUCGGAUUUACUGGGCGUAAAGCGUGCGUAGGCGGCUUUUUAAGUCGGAUGUGAAAUCCCUGAGCUUAACUUAGGAAUUGCAUUCGAUACUGGGAAGCUAGAGUAUGGGAGAGGAUGGUAGAAUUCCAGGUGUAGCGGUGAAAUGCGUAGAGAUCUGGAGGAAUACCGAUGGCGAAGGCAGCCAUCUGGCCUAAUACUGACGCUGAGGUACGAAAGCAUGGGGAGCAAACAGGAUUAGAUACCCUGGUAGUCCAUGCCGUAAACGAUGUCUACUA